GAUUAAUGAAUUUUUGUGUGUUCGUUUUCUGAUUGGUAGGUGGCCAAAAGUGUUGUUUUGUUUGUGUUAUAUUUCCUAUAUAUCGUGGAGGAAAGGGAUGAGGAGCUCAGUUCUCCUUUCUCCAUUUUUCCUUGUUCUAUCUGUCUGAGGAUAAAGGUGUUAACAUCUGUGGUUGUGGAAAAAACCAUGUGUAGACUGGAGCUCUCUAAGACGACUCACCAGCUUUCCGAGGAAACAUGUAAGUGUUCGAAUUAACAAAGAGGAUUUGAGAAGAUUCAGUUGGAUAUGAAAUACUGGCUCAAUAGAGCAUUAUCGGGAAUAUGAAACCGUGGCUCUUCAGAGCGUAUUAUGGAUCAGAAGCUAACUCGAGGAAGGAUGUCCAAAUGUCUAUAAGAGAAUGUGAGUUUUCACUUCAAGUGAAUUGGGGCGUGGACCGAGCCAUUUACAAGGCGAAUUGAAAAUUAGUGAGACUAUGCAAACUGAAGGAACACAUGAAAUGCUCUGGCGUAGAUUAUGAUCUUCAGUUCUGCUAUUGUGGAUAAGUAUCAGUUAUCGACCGAUUGUUGCAUGUACGAAUAUGUAUUCAAUAUCCACCAAUGUGUAGUGUAAGUGCAGGCUUGUUUGUUUAUGUUCAACAGGCCUAACUGUAGGCUUAUAUUUGUACUUAUCUUCUUUGAUAACCUGUACUAUUGUGUUCUGGGAAACCUUAGGUUGAAAGGUUUCUAUUGUUUUGGAACUCACUAAGUUCAUUUGAACUUACUUUGUUUCCUCUGUUCUUUUUAGGUUUAAGGUCAUUUGUGUUCAUAAAGGGACUCAGCCAAAUUGUCAUGGUUUUUAUGAGCUUUCCUUUGUUCCUUCUAUAACAUGUAUAUAUUAGGCAGUUAUCAUAUUUGUUUAUUUCAUGCAUAUGUUGGUUUAA
Molecule: long non-coding RNA, 919 nt
Organism: Gossypium arboreum
Lineage: Eukaryota; Viridiplantae; Streptophyta; Magnoliopsida; Malvales; Malvaceae
Exons: 3
Source: RefSeq, a predicted model, not a curated record